RNAcentral lists this ribosomal RNA (460 nucleotides) under uncultured bacterium. RNAcentral's name for it is "partial 16S ribosomal RNA". It matches the Rfam family "Bacterial small subunit ribosomal RNA", at positions 338 to 795 of the family's 1533-position model. The record is from RNAcentral.
CCUACGGGAGGCAGCAGUGAGGAAUAUUGGUCAAUGGGCGCGAGCCUGAACCAGCCAAGUAGCGUGAAGGAUGACUGCCCUACGGGUUGUAAACUUCUUUUAUCAAGGAAUAAAGUGAGGCACGUGUGCCUUUUUGUAUGUACUUUAUGAAUAAGGAUCGGCUAACUCCGUGCCAGCAGCCGCGGUAAUACGGAGGAUCCGAGCGUUAUCCGGAUUUAUUGGGUUUAAAGGGAGCGUAGAUGGGUUGUUAAGUCAGUUGUGAAAGUUUGCGGCUUAACCGUAAAAUUGCAAUUGAUACUGGCAGCCUUGAGUGCAGUUGAGGUAGGCGGAAUUCGUGGUGUAGCGGUGAAAUGCGUAGAUAUCACGAAGAACCCCGAUGGCGAAGGCAGCUUACUAAACUGCAACUGACAUUGAUGCUCGAAAGUGUGGGUAUCAAACAGGAUUAGAUACCCUGGUAGUC